UGCAUCGUCUUCAGUCCAGCCAGAGUCUAUCGAAGAACAUGAAUUUAUCAAACCACAGAAGAUGAAAAUAUGUGGUUUUCACUGAUGUCUUUAAGGGAUAGCUUUCAAAUUGUAAACCAUUACACAUUCUUAUAAAAAAUGAUGCGCAAGAAGAGACGCCCCUCUGUGGAAAAAAGCGAAAGUGCUGCUCCACCAGAUGUGUCAAGUAAUUUAAGUCUUUCAGGCGCUCAAACAAACAAGGAAACCAGACUGUGUCUAUUGACUUUGUAUGUCUCAUGAGAAAUACACAAACUAGCUAGUGUCAGUCAGCUAGUGUCAGUCAGUUCAUUAGGGAUCCAUCCCCAUCUCAUUCAGAGUAAGACCACUGGGCAUCAGUCCAAGGCCACUACUCAGGAGGACACCAAUAAUGACUCUGUCUUUGGUCAAUUUCUAUGCGCGGGCUGGUAUCAUCUUGGGAAAAGGCAGUAUAUCCAAUGAAAUUGGUAAGAAAGACACACACCCUCAAUAGUCAUUCAUCAACAUAUUGACAAAUUAUUGUUCUUAACUGGCAAUUGGUGGAUAAUGCAUCAUUAUAUUGCUUUGUAAGCUGUAGAACAAAUGGUUUUCCAAAAGAGACUCCAGCAACGACUGAAUAAGAGUCCCAGAUACCCCGGUAUUGUCCAGGAGUUCAUCAAAGGACUGGAGUCUCACAUUGAGGAUCCUGAGAGGUUCAGGGACUGUCUCCUCCCUGUGUACCAUGCCUGGCCGAUGGGACCUGCAGGUAACGCCACAGAUCACACAGCCCCAAGGGGAGCAGGGCACCUGGCUCUCUCAAAUUCUCUGAAAUGUUUGAUCAGUGGCGGUAGAGAAUUAGAAAAUUGUUACAUGGAAACAUCACUUUGUGUCUUGUCUGUGGUCCAGCUCUGUCAGCUCAUUUUAGGAGAGUGCUGUGCAUGCUGCUGGGGAUCGAGAUGUUGCCGGUUUGACAGCCUCUCUCUAUGCAAAAACACAUUGGUCUAAGUAGUGUUGGGGUCUUUAUCUGUCAUCGGCCACUGGAUGUGAAAUUCAAAUAUGACCACAAUUUUGUAAAGCCUUUCCUUUUUUCUUUUUGUUGUAGACUUUGGUCAUUAACACUAUGACAGCAGAUCUAACCUAUACUCUACACUAAUUCCAUCUGUAUAUUCCCACUAAGUAGCAAGGCUAGACUGACUUUCCUCAAACAUCACUGUAACAUGUCACUAUCAAGG
Salvelinus sp. IW2-2015 is the source of this 1226-nucleotide non-coding RNA. NCBI's taxonomy places the organism in Eukaryota, Metazoa, Chordata, Actinopteri, Salmoniformes, Salmonidae. The record is from RefSeq and is a predicted model, not a curated record.